This 522-nucleotide ribosomal RNA is filed under the name bacterium T-1-0-5H. RNAcentral describes it as "bacterial SSU rRNA". It matches the Rfam family "Bacterial small subunit ribosomal RNA", at positions 442 to 945 of the family's 1533-position model. The record is from RNAcentral.
GAGAAGAACGUUGCAUAGUAGUGGAAAAUAAUGCAAGUGACGGUAUCUAACCAGAAAGGGACGGCUAACUACGUGCCAGCAGCCGCGGUAAUACGUAGGUCUCCGAGCGUUGUCCGGAUUUAUUCGGGCGUAAAGCGAGCGCAGGUGGUUUAAUAAGUCUGAUGUAAAAGGCAGUGGCUCAGACCAUUAGUGUGCAUCCGGAAACUGUANAGACUAUGAGUGCAGUAGAGGAGAGUGAGAAUUGCCAUGUGUAGCGGUGAAAUGCGUAGAUAUAUGGAGGAACACCGGUGGCGAAAGCGGCUCUCUGGACUGUCACUGACACUGAGGCUCGAAAGCGUGGGUAGCAAACAGGAUUAGAUACCCUGGUAGUCCACGCCGUAAACGAUGAGUGCUAGUNGUNUGGGGCUAUCCAGCCCUAAGUGACGCAGCAAACGCAUUAAGCACUCCGCCUGGGGAGUACGACCGCAAGGUNGAAACUCAAAGGAAUUGACGGGGGCCCGCACAAGCGGUGGAGCAUGUGGU